UACGUAGGGGGCUAGCGUUGUCCGGAAUCAUUGGGCGUAAAGCGCGUGUAGGCGGUCCGGUAAGUCCGCUGUGAAAGUCGAGGGCUCAACCCUCGAAUGCCGGUGGAUACUGUCGGGCUUGGGUACGGGAGAGGCGAGUGGAAUUCCUGGUGUAGCGGUGAAAUGCGCAGAUAUCAGGAGGAACACCGAUUGCGAAGGCAGCUCGCUGGAACGUUACUGACGCUGAGACGCGAAAGCGUGGGGAGCAAACAGG
Molecule: ribosomal RNA, 253 nt
Filed under: uncultured bacterium
Lineage: Bacteria
Description: partial 16S ribosomal RNA
Rfam family: Bacterial small subunit ribosomal RNA
Source: RNAcentral